GCAUAUCAAUAAGCGGAGGAAAAGAAACUAACAAGGAUUCCCUUAGUAACGGCGAGUGAAGAGGGAAGAGCUCAAAUUUUAAAUCUAUCAUGUUUGUACAUGAUCGAAUUGUAAUUUGAAGAAGCGUUUUCUCGUACUUUAUGCAAUCAGUAUAAGUUCUCUUGGAACAGGACAUCAUAGAGGGUGAUAAUCCCGUCUGUUACUGGUUGUGAGGUUCGUUAUGAUACGCUUUCAAAGAGUCGAGUUGUUUGGGAUUGCAGCUCCAAAUGGGUGGUAAACAUCACCUAAGGCUAAAUAUUUGCGAGAGACCGAUAGCGAACAAGUACCGUGAGGGAAAGAUGAAAAGAACUUUGAAAAGAGAGUUAAAAAGUAUGUGAAAUUGUUGAAAGGGAAACGAUUGAAGUCAGUCGUGCAGUCAUCAAUUCAGCGGUUAACAUUUUUAUGUUUCCGUGUAAUUUGGUGUCUGUUGGUUAGCAUCAAUUUUGAUUGUUAUAAAAAGGUUAAGGGGAUGUGGCUCCUUCGGGAGUGUUAUAACCCUUAGCGUAAUGUGACGAUUAGGAUUGAGGUUUGCAACGAAUACCUUUUAGGGCAGUUUCACCUGGCCUCUCGUGGAAUUAUAGAUAGUUAAGAGCAUGCUCUUACUGUCUAUGAUUCUACGAAAAGGUUGGAGUGUAAAACUAAUUCGUUAAGGAUGUUGACGUA
This 702-nucleotide ribosomal RNA is filed under the name uncultured Glomerales. RNAcentral's name for it is "LSU rRNA". It matches the Rfam family "Eukaryotic large subunit ribosomal RNA", at positions 38 to 633 of the family's 3401-position model. Lineage: Eukaryota; Fungi; Glomeromycota; Glomeromycetes; Glomerales; Glomeraceae. The record is from RNAcentral.